GAUAGGUGGCUCAAUCAGGCAGAGCGAGUGGUUUGUAACCACUAGGUUGUGGGUUCAAUUCCCAUCCUGUC
This 71-nucleotide transfer RNA is filed under the name uncultured Methanobrevibacter sp. It matches the Rfam family "tRNA". From Rfam's summary of the family: Transfer RNA (tRNA) molecules are approximately 80 nucleotides in length. Their secondary structure includes four short double-helical elements and three loops (D, anti-codon, and T loops). Lineage: Archaea; Methanobacteriati; Methanobacteriota; Methanobacteria; Methanobacteriales; Methanobacteriaceae. The record is from RNAcentral.